UUUGAAUUCUAGUGAAAGAAACUACUACUUCUCUCUAGGAUUUUAGCAUUCUUAGUUCAUCUUCGCAUUGGAUCUUAGGAGAGCUGCUGCUACCUUCAAUUGGAGUCAAUUCUUUUACAGUUUUCUUUGCUAAUUUCUCUAUUACUCUUGUCCAUUUGAUUAUUUUGCAUUCACGUUUGUAUCUUGUCACAUUUGAAUCUUAUUAAUGCAUUGAAGUAUUUUUAUAUUUAUUUUUAUUGCCUGUUUGAUUCGUGUUAAUUAUUGUUCGUGCCAAUUUUGAUUUAAUUAAUUUUUCAUAAUUAUCUUGUCUUUUAUUUACUCCUAUUAUGUGUUUAUAAAAAUGACAUUCAUGUUAAUGGAGUAAAGCUCCCAACUUGGUUGGGGGUUGAUAAUUGGAAACUGUUGAGUUGUGAUAUUCAAGUAUUAAUCUAUAAUUGGGAAUUGCUGGCUAACUCGAUUUUCACCAACUCUAGUCCUUCCCCAUGAAGUGACUAGGACUUGUGAGUCAGAGUUAGUGACAGCCACUUGACAUUCCUUCAAUUGUUAGAGGAUAACUAAGUG
Molecule: non-coding RNA, 561 nt
Organism: Arachis ipaensis
Lineage: Eukaryota; Viridiplantae; Streptophyta; Magnoliopsida; Fabales; Fabaceae
Source: RefSeq, a predicted model, not a curated record